UGGGGAAUAUUGCGGCAAUGGGGGGAACCCUGACGCAGCAACGCCGCGUGAAGGAAGAAGGUUUUCGGAUUGUAAACUUCAACAAACAGGGAAGAAAAAAUGACGGUACCUGUCUGAAGCCACGGCUAACUACGUGCCAGCAGCCGCGGUAAUACGUAGGUGGCAAGCGUUGUCCGGAUUUACUGGGUGUAAAGGGCGUGUAGGCGGGCGCUUAAGUCAGUGGUGAAAUACCGAAGCUCAACUUCGGGGCUGCCAUUGAAACUGGGUGUCUUGAGUGCCGGAGAGGAAAGCGGAAUUCCUAGUGUAGCGGUGAAAUGCGUAGAUAUUAGGAGGAACACCAGUGGCGAAGGCGGCUUUCUGGACGGUAACUGACGCUGAGGCGCGAAAAGCGUGG
This 394-nucleotide ribosomal RNA is filed under the name uncultured Clostridium sp. Its description in RNAcentral is "bacterial SSU rRNA". It matches the Rfam family "Bacterial small subunit ribosomal RNA", at positions 355 to 764 of the family's 1533-position model. Lineage: Bacteria; Bacillati; Bacillota; Clostridia; Eubacteriales; Clostridiaceae. The record is from RNAcentral.